This 301-nucleotide ribosomal RNA is filed under the name uncultured bacterium. RNAcentral's name for it is "partial 16S ribosomal RNA". It matches the Rfam family "Bacterial small subunit ribosomal RNA", at positions 509 to 809 of the family's 1533-position model. The record is from RNAcentral.
CAGUAGCCGCGGUAAUACAGAGGGUGCGAGCGUUAAUCGGAUUUACUGGGCGUAAAGCGUGCGUAGGCGGCUUUUUAAGUCGGAUGUGAAAUCCCUGAGCUUAACUUAGGAAUUGCAUUCGAUACUGGGAAGCUAGAGUAUGGGAGAGGAUGGUAGAAUUCCAGGUGUAGCGGUGAAAUGCGUAGAGAUCUGGAGGAAUACCGAUGGCGAAGGCAGCCAUCUGGCCUAAUACUGACGCUGAGGUACGAAAGCAUGGGGAGCAAACAGGAUUAGAUACCCGCGUAGUCCCUGUCUCUUAUUC